RNAcentral lists this long non-coding RNA (1184 nucleotides) under Bos indicus x Bos taurus (hybrid cattle). Its description in RNAcentral is "lncRNA (ENSBIXG00005024341.1)". Lineage: Eukaryota; Metazoa; Chordata; Mammalia; Artiodactyla; Bovidae. The record is from RNAcentral.
AUGGCGCCUGGCACACAGGCAGGACUCCAGAUGUGGUUUUUGAAUGAAGGGAGUAAUAAAAAGCUAGUGCAGGUGGAACUCAAGCUAGGAAGCGGGUCUCCUGACCCUGCCCACAGUUCCACCCAUCAGCACACAGUCUCACUUCCUCGUCAUGUGGUGAAUCAGACCCUGCUUUCCAAGGUUGAUAAUCCUUUUGUUGGAGCCCCAGGCACAAAGUCUGUCCCUGGAGACUGCUCUGAGCAUCAGAACUAUGUUGAGAAAGUCCUCUUGUUCAAGCACAACAUCCAGUUCAGCCUCCAAAGUCCACGAGGCCUGUUGAUGUGGUGCGGGGUGGGGUGGGGGUUGAAAUGGAAUGAGUGGCUGAUUUUCUCCAAAUGGUACAUUUCAUUCAUGAUGCAUGAGUGUAAUCGGGAUUGCCUGAAGCCUGCAGUCCCCAGCUCGGCAAAAAAAAAAAAAAGGGAAAAAAAAAAAAAAGAAAUGGCUAUUUUCUGGAGUGAAUACACUGAAAGGGCAAGAAAUCCAUAUUCAUUUUCUUGCCUCUCGGCUGGACUCUAUAUUUCGCAGGCAGGUGGAACAAAAAUCUUUAAAUAUCAUGCUGAUCCAGGAAAUGCUCGGCAAUAUUUAAAGAGCUCCGCGUGCCUGCCUCCUGCCCUCCAGUUCUCGGCAGGCAAGACCCACGUCACGGGGCUGGACAGCCACUGCUGCAGCCUCAGCGAGCCCCGCUCCAGACCCUGGGUUCAGAUUAACUGGCGCAUGACCUUUACAAAAUGGUUGGAAAUCUCAGGACUCUGGGUGUCUUGACCUCCUGCAGAUGCUGCGCUCGGGACAGAGGGCUGCUGGGAGAAGAAAAGAAAGAGCCUUAAUGCGCCAUAUCGGGGUGAGCCCCAGGGAGUCCACUAACUGCUUUUUAAUGAUCGUCACUGACCAGCUCAGAUUUCCCUGCCAUGAAAGAGCAGCGUGGGCGAUCACAGAGGACCUCUGAGGGAGAGUGAUUUGAGGAAGGACCACGUGUGAUGGGGAGCCGGGUCAAACGGAUCACGAGUGGACGAUUACGGGGAGGGGCAUGCGGCCAUUCUUAGGGCUGUCGUCACAACCCAGGUGCUGAUACAGUGUCCUCUCUGAGGUCUUCCAACUGGCCAUUACCCUCCCCUAAUGAGACUGUCCUGAGUUUCUCUGUAUGUAGC